RNAcentral lists this transfer RNA (68 nucleotides) under Neucentropus mandjuricus. RNAcentral describes it as "tRNA-Cys". Lineage: Eukaryota; Metazoa; Arthropoda; Insecta; Trichoptera; Polycentropodidae. The record is from RNAcentral.
AGUUUUAUAGUUUAUUUUGAAUAUUAAAUUGCAAAUUUAAUGGUAUAUAUUUGUUUAUGUUAAAGCUU